GAACGAACGCUGGCGGCAUGCCUAAACACAUGCAAGUCGAACGAGACCUUCGGGUCUAGUGGCGCACGGGUGCGUAACGCGUGGGAACCUGCCUUUAGGUUCGGAAUAACUCAGAGAAAUUUGAGCUAAUACCGGAUAAUGUCUUCGGACCAAAGAUUUAUCGCCUUUAGAUGGGCCCGCGUUGGAUUAGCUAGUUGGUGGGGUAAAGGCCUACCAAGGCGACGAUCCAUAGCUGGUCUGAGAGGAUGAUCAGCCACACUGGGACUGAGACACGGCCCAGACUCCUACGGGAGGCAGCAGUGGGGAAUAUUGGACAAUGGGCGAAAGCCUGAUCCAGCAAUGCCGCGUGAGUGAUGAAGGCCUUAGGGUUGUAAAGCUCUUUUACCCGAGAUGAUAAUGACAGUAUCGGGUGAAUAAGCUCCGGCUAACUCCGUG
RNAcentral lists this ribosomal RNA (435 nucleotides) under uncultured bacterium. RNAcentral's name for it is "bacterial SSU rRNA". It matches the Rfam family "Bacterial small subunit ribosomal RNA", at positions 27 to 507 of the family's 1533-position model. The record is from RNAcentral.